This 78-nucleotide microRNA precursor is filed under the name Schistosoma mattheei. RNAcentral's name for it is "mir-3492 microRNA precursor family". It matches the Rfam family "mir-3492 microRNA precursor family". Lineage: Eukaryota; Metazoa; Platyhelminthes; Trematoda; Strigeidida; Schistosomatidae. The record is from Rfam by way of RNAcentral.
AGCUUUUUGAAUCCGUGCUGAGAUUUCGUCAAACAUCAACACAUUAGGGCUCGUCAGACUUCCAAGAUAAGUGAAGCU